AAAAACUUUCUAAAAGAGUUUGAUCCUGGCUCAGAAUAAACGUUAAUGAUUGGCUUAACACAUGCAAAUUAAAUAAAUUUAUUAAAAUAAUUAUAAAUUAAUAGUGAACGGGUGAGUAAUAUAUAGAAAUUAACCUCAAAUAAUUGUGUAAUGCAUGAAAAGAUUUUAUCGUUUUGAGAAGAGUCUAUAAAAGAUUAAGUUGUUGGUAUAAUAAAAGUAUACCAAGCUAACGAUCUUUAGUUGGUCUGUGAAGAUGAACAACCACAUUGGAAUUGAGAUACGGUCCAAACUUUAUAGAAAGGCAGCAGUGAGGAAUUUUGGGCAAUGAGCGGAAGCUUGACCCAGCUAAAUCAUGUAUGUGAAUAAAACUUUCUGUUUUAAAGCAUUAAAAUUAAUAAAAUAAUGAUAAAUUAAAAAAAGUCCUGGCUAAUUUCGUGCCAGCAGCCGCGGUAAAACGGGAAGGGCAAGCGUUAUUUGAAUUUAUUGGGCGUAAAGCAUAUGUAGGUGGAAACUUAAUUUUUAGUUUAAAUUUUAAAUUUUAUUUUUAGAUUGGCUAAAAAAAUGAUUUUCUAGAGUUUAAGAAAAGAUUAUGGAAUUUUAAAUGUAAUAGUAAAAUGUUUUGAUAUUUAAAAGAACCUCGAUAGUGUAAACAAUAAUCUAGAAUAAUACUGACACUGAGAUAUUAAAGCAUGGGUAGCAAAAGGGAUUAGAUACCCCUGUAGUCCAUGCCCUGAACGAUGAGUGUUAAUUUUUGAGUAUUCAGAAAUAUAGCUAACGCGUUAAACACUCCGCCUGGGAACUAUGAUCGCAAGAUUAAAACUCAAAGGAAUUGACGGGAACCUGCACAAGCAGUGGAGCAUGUGGUUUAAAUCGAUAAUACGCGCGAAAUCUUACCAAUCUUUGCAUAAUAAAAAUUACAGGUGUUGCAUGGCUGUCGUCAGUCCGUGCUGUGAAGCGUUUGGUUCAUUCCAAUAAACGGACAAAACUCUUAUAUAUUUUCGAAUAUAGACUGUUAAAGAUAUCUUAUAAGGAAGGCGAGAACGACGUCAAGUCCUCAUGACCCUAAUAGAUUGGGCUACUUUCAUGUGCUACAAUAAUUUAUACAAAAAGAAGCAAAAAUGUGAGUUUAAGCAAAACUUGGAAAGUAAGUUAUUAUACGAAUUGUUUUCUGUAACUCGAAAAUAUGAAGUUGGAAUUGCUAGUAAUCGUAAAUUAGAAUGUUACGGUGAAUAUGUUCUCGGGUUUUGUACACACCGCCCGUCACGCUAUGGGAAUUUAUUUUAUUUGAAAACUACUUUGCUAAGAUUGUAGUUUAUGGUGAAAAAAGGACUAGAGUGAAGUCGUAACAAGGUAGCCGUAGGGGAACCUGCGGCUGGAAAAUUUAAAUAAUUCUACUAUCCC
RNAcentral lists this ribosomal RNA (1401 nucleotides) under Gracilaria tenuistipitata. RNAcentral describes it as "SSU rRNA". It matches the Rfam family "Bacterial small subunit ribosomal RNA". Lineage: Eukaryota; Rhodophyta; Florideophyceae; Gracilariales; Gracilariaceae. The record is from RNAcentral.